GCGGGUGUGGCUCAGCUGGUAGAGCGUCUCCUUCCCAAGGAGAAGGUCGCGGGUUCAAGCCCCGUCACCCGCUCCA
Molecule: transfer RNA, 76 nt
Filed under: candidate division WWE3 bacterium
Lineage: Bacteria; candidate division WWE3
Description: tRNA-Gly
Rfam family: tRNA
About the family: Transfer RNA (tRNA) molecules are approximately 80 nucleotides in length. Their secondary structure includes four short double-helical elements and three loops (D, anti-codon, and T loops).
Source: RNAcentral